This 297-nucleotide unclassified non-coding RNA is filed under the name Hevea brasiliensis (rubber tree). Lineage: Eukaryota; Viridiplantae; Streptophyta; Magnoliopsida; Malpighiales; Euphorbiaceae. The record is from RNAcentral.
UGCCACAUGCAACACAAAAACCACAAACAAACUUAUAUCCUGUUCAUAACGAAAGCAAAUCAACAUCAUAGAUUGUCUUUCCAAGAAAGAUAAUGUUACUUGAACAUCAUUUUCAGCUUCCUGCCUUCCAAUAGCAAGUUUAAUUAAGACUUGUGAAUAGAUAAUAGGUUGUACAUAAAUAGUAGUAUCAGCAAGAAUAUAUACACAAACUAUUGAAGCAAAUUUUUAGACCAAAAUCACCACAUCUAGCUUCAGGUUAAAACUCAGAGGGAAGGAGGGAGGGAGGGAGAGAGAGAG